RNAcentral lists this ribosomal RNA (433 nucleotides) under uncultured bacterium. RNAcentral describes it as "partial 16S ribosomal RNA". It matches the Rfam family "Bacterial small subunit ribosomal RNA", at positions 29 to 507 of the family's 1533-position model. The record is from RNAcentral.
AACGAACGCUGGCGGCAUGCCUAACACAUGCAAGUCGAACGAGACCUUCGGGUCUAUUGUCGCACGGUUGCGUAACGCGUGGGAACCUUCCCUUAGGUUCGGAAUAACUCCCCGAAAGGGGUGCUAAUACCGGAUAAUGUCUUCGGACCAAAGAUUUAUCGCCUUUGGAUGGGCCCGCGUUUGAUUAGCUUGUUGGUAGGGUAAAAGCAUACCAAGGCGACGAUCCAUAGCUGGUCUGAGAGGAUGAUCAGCCACACUGGGACUGAGACACGGCCCAGACUACUACGGGAGGGAGCAGUGGGGAAUAGUGGAAAAUGGGCGAAAGGCUGAUAAAGCAAUGAGGCGUGAGUGAUGAAGGAAUUAGGGUUGGAAAGCUAUUUUACACGGGAUGAUAAUGACAGUACCGGGAGAAUAAGCGCCGGCUAACUACGUG